GAUGAACGCUAGCGGGAGGCCUAACACAUGCAAGCCGAGCGGUAGAGUUUCUUCGGAAACUUGAGAGCGGCGCACGGGUGCGUAACACGUGUGCAACCUACCUUUAUCUGGGGGAUAGCCUUUCGAAAGGAAGAUUAAUACCCCAUAAUAUAAUGAUUGGCAUCAAUUAUUAUUGAAAACUCCGGUGGAUAGAGAUGGGCACGCGCAAGAUUAGAUAGUUGGUGAGGCAACGGCUCACCAAGUCAAUGAUCUUUAGGGGUCCUGAGAGGGAGAUCCCCCACACUGGUACUGAGACACGGACCAGACUCCUACGGGAGGCAGCAGUGAGGAAUAUUAGACAAUGGGUGAGAGCCUGAUCCAGCCAUCCCGGGUGAAGGAGGACGGUCCUAUGGAUAGUAAACUUCUUUUGUACAGGGAUAAACCUACCCUCGUGAGGGUAGCUGAAGGUACUGAACGAAUAAGCACCGGCUAACUCCGUG
RNAcentral lists this ribosomal RNA (479 nucleotides) under uncultured bacterium. RNAcentral's name for it is "partial 16S ribosomal RNA". It matches the Rfam family "Bacterial small subunit ribosomal RNA", at positions 28 to 507 of the family's 1533-position model. The record is from RNAcentral.